RNAcentral lists this ribosomal RNA (139 nucleotides) under uncultured bacterium. RNAcentral describes it as "partial 16S ribosomal RNA". It matches the Rfam family "Bacterial small subunit ribosomal RNA", at positions 355 to 509 of the family's 1533-position model. The record is from RNAcentral.
UGGGGAAUAUUGGGCAAUGGGCGCAAGCCUGACCCAGCAACGCCGCGUGAAGGAAGAAGGCCCUCGGUUGUAAACUUCUUUUAUUCGGGACGAAACAAAUGACGGUACCGAAUGAAUAAGCCACGGCUAACUACGUGCC